Molecule: unclassified non-coding RNA, 199 nt
Filed under: uncultured fungus
Lineage: Eukaryota; Fungi
Description: sequence contains ITS1
Source: RNAcentral
GUAUUUCGAAUUAAGUAAAUUCGUGAUAACAAAUGUUCAGACAAGUUGACUUGAAGACGUUGGUAAAUAUAGAGGGCUCCACACUUCAAAAAGAGAGAGAGACCCCCCAAACGUUGCACACAAGGUGGAUAUGGAUUGUUUAAAAAGUGCCAUAAAACACUUGUCGUGAAUGAUCCUUCCGCAGGUUCACCUACGGAAA